Molecule: ribosomal RNA, 274 nt
Filed under: uncultured bacterium
Lineage: Bacteria
Description: partial 16S ribosomal RNA
Rfam family: Bacterial small subunit ribosomal RNA
Source: RNAcentral
AUACGGAGGGGGUUAGCGUUGUUCGGAAUUACUGGGCGUAAAGCGUACGUAGGCGGACUGGAAAGUUGGGGGUGAAAUCCCGGGGCUCAACCCCGGAACUGCCUCCAAAACUUCCAAUCUAGAGAUCGAGAGAGGUGAGUGGAAUUCCAAGUGUAGAGGUGAAAUUCGUAGAUAUUUGGAGGAACACCAGUGGCGAAGGCGGCUCACUGGCUCGAUACUGACGCUGAGGUACGAAAGCGUGGGGAGUAAACAGGAUUAGAAACCCUAGUAGUCC